GGAUUAGGCAUGCAAGUCGAACGAGAUGGUAGGGUAACUUGCCAUCUAGUGGCGGAAGGGUUAGUAAUACAUGAAUAACUUGCCUUCAACCUGGGGAUAACGGCUGGAAACGGCCGCUAAUACCGAAUGAGGUGCAUAAGGGGCAGCCCUAGUGCAUCAAAGUGGGGGACCGGGAAACCGGCCUUGCGGUUGAAGAGAGGUUCAUGGGAUAUCAGCUAGUUGGUGUGGUAAUGGCGCACCAAGGCUAAGACGUCUAGGCGGAUUGAGAGAUUGACCGCCAACAUUGGGACUGAGAUACUGCCCAGACUCCUACGGGAGGCUGCAGUCGAGAAUCUUUCGCAAUGGGCGAAAGCCUGACGAAGCGACGCUGUGUGAGUGAUGAAGGCCUUCGGGUUGUAAAGCUCUUUCGCUUGGGAACAAGAGAGGUUGAUGAAUAAUCAGCUAAUUUGAGGGUACUUAAGUAAAGAAGCACCGGCUAACCCCGUGCCAGCAGCCGCGGUAAUA
Molecule: ribosomal RNA, 504 nt
Filed under: uncultured bacterium
Lineage: Bacteria
Description: bacterial SSU rRNA
Rfam family: Bacterial small subunit ribosomal RNA
Source: RNAcentral